This 71-nucleotide transfer RNA is filed under the name Cordylochernes scorpioides. RNAcentral's name for it is "tRNA-Gly". The record is from RNAcentral. Lineage: Eukaryota; Metazoa; Arthropoda; Arachnida; Pseudoscorpiones; Chernetidae.
UGCAUCGGCCGAAAAUCGAACCUGGGCCGCCCGCGUGGCAGGCGAGCAUUCUACCACUGAACCACCGAUGG